GAUGAACGCUAGCGACAGGCUUAACACAUGCAAGUCGAGGGGCAGCAUAAAAGUAGCAAUACUUUGGUGGCGACCGGCGCACGGGUGAGUAACGCGUAUGCAACCUACCUAUCAGAGGGGGAUAACCCGGCGAAAGUCGGACUAAUACCGCAUAAAACAGGGGCACCGCAUGGUGAUAUUUGUUAAAAAUUUAUUGCUGAUAGAUGGGCAUGCGUUCCAUUAGGUAGUUGGAGAGGUAACGGCUCACCAAGCCUACGAUGGAUAGGGGAACUGAGAGGCUCGGUCCCCCACACGUGGUACUGAGACACGGACCAGA
Molecule: ribosomal RNA, 316 nt
Filed under: uncultured bacterium
Lineage: Bacteria
Description: bacterial SSU rRNA
Rfam family: Bacterial small subunit ribosomal RNA
Source: RNAcentral